UCGGUUGUUCUGGUUUCUUCUCCGGAUCUUUGAUCUGCUAAGUUGCCGACAGCCCCUGACAGGGACGGAGCAUUCAGACUGUCUUGUCGAUCAGGUGGAUGAGGCUUUAGCAUAAAAGAGAAUCGACGUGCUGUGCUGGAAGCAGGAGCUGGACAUGUGCUGAAUGCCUGAAUGUAGCUGAUCCUUUGCGUGGAGAGCCACUGGCCAUUUUCUCUCUAUCAAGCAGUCAUCGAAAUUCAUCGAAAAAAAUGUCAUCAAAAUUGGGCUGUCAGAGUCAUUCUGAUGACGGGCAGUAGUUAUUGAAGCGGUCACUACGUAUGCUCAUGACUACUCCAACCUGGGUAUGCUGUUCAAAAUAAUUUAAAGGCCGUAAUGUGUUCAUCUUUUCGAUCAUGUAAAGCUUAAAUCUGCUCACGGGUUUGUAAGGGCCCGUUUGGUAGCCUGGGUGAGUUUUUCGUCUCAUUGGGUCAGAAUGAAACGCACAUCUCGGUUUGAUACGAGUUUCGGGUAAAAAAAGUCACUUUGUUUGACAGCC
Molecule: non-coding RNA, 535 nt
Organism: Lolium perenne
Lineage: Eukaryota; Viridiplantae; Streptophyta; Magnoliopsida; Poales; Poaceae
Source: RefSeq, a predicted model, not a curated record